Molecule: ribosomal RNA, 811 nt
Filed under: uncultured fungus
Lineage: Eukaryota; Fungi
Description: eukaryotic LSU rRNA
Rfam family: Eukaryotic large subunit ribosomal RNA
Source: RNAcentral
CCCGCUGAACUUAAGCAUAUCAUUAAGCGGAGGAAAAGAAACCAACAGGGAUGCCCUCAGUAACGGCGAGCGAAGCGGGCAGAGCUCAAACUGAAAAUCGGGAGCUCUUGCCUGCUUUCGAUUUGUAGUCUAGCGACGCGCUAUCAGCCUUGACCCGUGCAUAAAUCCUUUGGAACAGGGCAUCACAGAGGGUGAGAACCCCGUAUUUGGACUCGGAGUUCCGUGCGUACUGAUGCGUGUUCAUACGAGUCGGGUUGCUUGGGAUUGCAGCUCUAAAUGGGUGGUAAGUUUCAUCUAAGGCUAAAUAUUGACGAGAGACCGAUAGCGAACAAGUACCGUGAGGGAAAGAUGAAAAGAACUUUGAAAAGAGAGUUAAAAAGUACUUGAAAUUGUUAAGAGGUAAGCGACUGGAAACCAGUCGUGCUGUUCACAAUCCUCGCUUGUCCGCUAGCUCUCGGCGUUGUACUGAGACCGAAAAGCUCAGUUAUGGUGUCUGGGGGUGUGUGGGUGGGUUUAGUUGUGGAUACUUAGUGUUAAACCCAGUGGCGAGUCAGCGUCAGCUUGGGCUUCCAGAGAGAGGAUGGACGAAGAUGGGUUUGGCUCUCGGCCUCAUCUCUUAUAGACUCUGGCUGGCGCGGGAGCCCGGGCUGAGGUGAGGCGUCAGUAGUACUGCUUGCGCUCGAGACCACUCGCCAAGGAGUAACGAGAACUGCACGCAGACCUGCACGUGCAAGGACAGGGAGGUAGGACUAUGCAUACGGUUCCAGGGAUGCUGACGAAAUGGUCUUAAACGACCCGUCUUGAAACACGG